AGGCGCCCCAGAGCUGCGGAGCUGCAGACCCGCCGACUGUCUCGCGCUCUGAUUUCCUCACCGUAUGAAAUGAAAUUCCACAGGGGGAUUCGAAAGGAAAUGAGACCGGGACUCUCCGUGCUUCUCGGCCCGCCGCCCUUCCUGUCUCGGGGACACGGUUUCUAAAUAAGAAACUGAUGCUCUGAGAGGCCAAGCAGUUUGCCCAAGAUUACACAGUCUUAGCCAUGCCUGGAAGAACCUUCUCUUCAACUCUGCUGUACCACUGUCAAGCUCACCUUUCUUCUAAGGUUUUAUUUUAGAGUUAACAUCCUCCAAAAAGCCUUCCUCAAGAGUUGAAGGUGCCCCUAAUAUCACAGCCAUGGCAUCCUGUACACUGGACCUUAUUGUCUGUCUGCCUAUUGUAACUUGUAUGAGUCUAUAAGCAAAACCUAUAAGAAGCCACAUCUGGCUAUUCUGUGUACUCAAAAAAUAAUUGGCAAGUGAAAGAAUGAGGAAAAGGAGAAAAAAUUCAGAAGGCCCCUACCCCUUCCAGUGGGUCAAGUCAGGAAUUUCCUACCUGCAUGUGAUUCCCUGUGUCCUAGAGGGUUUUAUUUACUCCUCAGACCUUGGAAACUGUUAACCAGAGUCUCUGUUUGGAGAUCUUAUCUGUGUGCUUCUCCAUGGGUGUUGUUUCCCGUCUCUCCAGCCAUGCAUUCCUCAGCUCUUUAAGUGGUGGAGCCUGUCUGCCUGGAUAGAGUGCAAAAGCUACAGUGUAAUCUUGCUUUCUUUCAGGGCCACUGACCAGAGGAAACAAAAACUGGACUGAUUGGGCUCUCCUGAUGUAGACCAG
This 829-nucleotide long non-coding RNA is filed under the name Pongo abelii (Sumatran orangutan). RNAcentral's name for it is "lincRNA". Lineage: Eukaryota; Metazoa; Chordata; Mammalia; Primates; Hominidae. The record is from RNAcentral.